This 392-nucleotide transfer-messenger RNA is filed under the name Flavicella sp. It matches the Rfam family "transfer-messenger RNA". Rfam says of the family: Bacterial tmRNA, also known as 10Sa RNA or SsrA, is named for its dual tRNA and mRNA-like properties. Its role is to liberate the mRNA from a stalled ribosome. To accomplish this part of the tmRNA is used as a reading frame that ends in a translation stop signal. The record is from RNAcentral. Lineage: Bacteria; Pseudomonadati; Bacteroidota; Flavobacteriia; Flavobacteriales; Flavobacteriaceae.
GGGGACGACUGGUUUUGACAGCGAGACCAAUCAAAAUGUAAGCAUGCCGAGCAAGGAAACAGACCUCGUAAAACUUUGUUUCACUUUUUUACACGGCGAAGAUAACUACGCUUUAGCUGCUUAAUCCGAAUCACAGUAGGAUGGGCCUAGUCUCACAAGGUGAGAAAGCUUUACAUCUCCGGAAAGCCUUGAAUUUCGGCGUUCCACUCAGAGGUGUCGUAAAUGGAAUUCUAGGAACGGCAAGCUUCGGUGCCCUUCCGAAACAAAGAAGCUAAGUCUUGCGUAGCUUGUUUUUAGGCGGCUCAAGAUCGAAAAUCAAUUAAAAACUAUGCAUGUAGAAAGCCUUGCGAUUGCUUGUUUGGACCCGGGUUCGAUUCCCGGCGUCUCCACCA